RNAcentral lists this ribosomal RNA (693 nucleotides) under Lentinus sajor-caju. RNAcentral's name for it is "eukaryotic LSU rRNA". The stretch from base 288 to 441 matches the Rfam family "5.8S ribosomal RNA". Lineage: Eukaryota; Fungi; Basidiomycota; Agaricomycetes; Polyporales; Polyporaceae. The record is from RNAcentral.
GGAAGUAAAAGUCGUAACAAGGUUUCCGUAGGUGAACCUGCGGAAGGAUCAUUAAUGAAUUCACUAUGGAGUUGUUGCUGGCCUCUAGGGGCAUGUGCACGCUUCACUAGUCUUUCAACCACCUGUGAACUUUUGAUAGAUCUGUGAAGUCGUCCUUCAAGUCGUCAGACUUGGUUUGCUGGGAUUUAAACGUCUCGGUGUGACAACGCAGUCUAUUUACUUAACACACCCCAAAUGUAUGUCUACGAAUGUCAUUUAAUGGGCCUUGUGCCUAUAAACCAUAAUACAACUUUCAACAACGGAUCUCUAGGCUCUCGCAUCGAUGAAGAACGCAGCGAAAUGCGAUAAGUAAUGUGAAUUGCAGAAUUCAGUGAAUCAUCGAAUCUUUGAACGCACCUUGCGCCCCUUGGUAUUCCGAGGGGCAUGCCUGUUUGAGUGUCAUUAAAUUCUCAAACUCACAUUUAUUUGUGAUGUUUGGAUUGUUGGGGGUUGCUGGCUGUAACAAGUCGGCUCCUCUUAAAUGCAUUAGCAGGGCUUCUCAUUGCCUCUGCGCAUGAUGUGAUAAUUAUCACUCAUCAAUAGCACGCAUGAAUAGAGUCCAGCUCUCUAAUCGUCCGCAAGGACAUUUUGACAAUUUGACCUCAAAUCAGGUAGGACUACCCGCUGAACUUAAGCAUAUCAAUAAGCGGAGGA